CGUUCUGUAAGCCUGUGAAGGUGUGCUGUGAGGCAUGCUGGAGGUAUCAGAAGUGCGAAUGCUGACAUAAGUAACGAUAAAGCGGGUGAAAAGCCCGCUCGCCGGAAGACCAAGGGUUCCUGUCCAACGUUAAUCGGGGCAGGGUGAGUCGACCCCUAAGGCGAGGCCGAAAGGCGUAGUCGAUGGGAAACAGGUUAAUAUUCCUGUACUUGGUGUUACUGCGAAGGGGGGACGGAGAAGGCUAUGUUGGCCGGGCGACGGUUGUCCCGGUUUAAGCGUGUAGGCUGGUUUUCCAGGCAAAUCCGGAAAACUAAGGCUGAGGCGUGAUGACGAGGCACUACGGUGCUGAAGCAACAAAUGCCCUGCUUCCAGGAAAAGCCUCUAAGCAUCAGGUAACAUCAAAUCGUACCCCAAACCGACACAGGUGGUCAGGUAGAGAAUACCAAGGCGCUUGAGAGAACUCGGGUGAAGGAACUAGGCAAAAUGGUGCCGUAACUUCGGGAGAAGGCACGCUGAUAUGUAGGUGAAGUCCCUCGCGGAUGGAGCUGAAAUCAGUCGAAGAUACCAGCUGGCUGCAACUGUUUAUUAAAAACACAGCACUGUGCAAACACGAAAGUGGACGUAUACGGUGUGACGCCUGCCCGGUGCCGGAAGGUUAAUUGAUGGGGUCAGCGCAAGCGAAGCUCUUGAUCGAAGCCCCGGUAAACGGCGGCCGUAACUAUAACGGUCCUAAGGUAGCGAAAUUCCUUGUCGGGUAAGUUCCGACCUGCACGAAUGGCGUAAUGAUGGCCAGGCUGUCUCCACCCGAGACUCAGUGAAAUUGAACUCGCUGUGAAGAUGCAGUGUACCCGCGGCAAGACGGAAAGACCCCGUGAACCUUUACUAUAGCUUGACACUGAACAUUGAGCCUUGAUGUGUAGGAUAGGUGGGAGGCUUUGAAGUGUGGACGCCAGUCUGCAUGGAGCCGACCUUGAAAUACCACCCUUUAAUGUUUGAUGUUCUAACGUUGACCCGUAAUCCGGGUUGCGGACAGUGUCUGGUGGGUAGUUUGACUGGGGCGGUCUCCUCCUAAAGAGUAACGGAGGAGCACGAAGGUUGGCUAAUCCUGGUCGGACAUCAGGAGGUUAGUGCAAUGGCAUAAGCCAGCUUGACUGCGAGCGUGACGGCGCGAGCAGGUGCGAAAGCAGGUCAUAGUGAUCCGGUGGUUCUGAAUGGAAGGGCCAUCGCUCAACGGAUAAAAGGUACUCCGGGGAUAACAGGCUGAUACCGCCCAAGAGUUCAUAUCGACGGCGGUGUUUGGCACCUCGAUGUCGGCUCAUCACAUCCUGGGGCUGAAGUAGGUCCCAAGGGUAUGGCUGUUCGCCAUUUAAAGUGGUACGCGAGCUGGGUUUAGAACGUCGUGAGACAGUUCGGUCCCUAUCUGCCGUGGGCGCUGGAGAACUGAGGGGGGCUGCUCCUAGUACGAGAGGACCGGAGUGGACGCAUCACUGGUGUUCGGGUUGUCAUGCCAAUGGCACUGCCCGGUAGCUAAAUGCGGAAGAGAUAAGUGCUGAAAGCAUCUAAGCACGAAACUUGCCCCGAGAUGAGUUCUCCCUGACUCCUUGAGAGUCCUGAAGGAACGUUGAAG
RNAcentral lists this ribosomal RNA (1627 nucleotides) under Escherichia coli. RNAcentral describes it as "partial 23S ribosomal RNA". It matches the Rfam family "Bacterial large subunit ribosomal RNA", at positions 1237 to 2843 of the family's 2925-position model. Lineage: Bacteria; Pseudomonadati; Pseudomonadota; Gammaproteobacteria; Enterobacterales; Enterobacteriaceae. The record is from RNAcentral.